RNAcentral lists this long non-coding RNA (342 nucleotides) under Capsella rubella. RNAcentral describes it as "long non-coding RNA (CRUB_LNC002300)". Lineage: Eukaryota; Viridiplantae; Streptophyta; Magnoliopsida; Brassicales; Brassicaceae. The record is from RNAcentral.
UUUGAUUGUAGAUGUUUUGAAGUAGACCAUUUUUACCUCCAUUAUAAACACCAUGAGUUCCAAAACAAUUAUUUUUAAUGUAAGCCUCUCUAAUAAAUAAUUGAUCGAGUAACGCUUGAGACGAAACUAUAUAAGAUGCUUUGGUCUCGGACCUGAGGGGAUGUAUGAGUUUCGGUCCAGAACCUCUUUGAUUAUUCAAAAAAAAAAAAAACAAUUGAAUUUGUAAAUGUUAAUAUUUACAAAUGGACCAAAUUUUGUUUGGCAUCUAUAAUAAUACAUGUUAAAAAUGGUGUUAAAACUUUUGCUCAUUUUUUCAAGUCAUCAGAAGUCCUUUACUCCAAC